RNAcentral lists this ribosomal RNA (1528 nucleotides) under Klebsiella pneumoniae. RNAcentral describes it as "bacterial SSU rRNA". It matches the Rfam family "Bacterial small subunit ribosomal RNA". The record is from RNAcentral. Lineage: Bacteria; Pseudomonadati; Pseudomonadota; Gammaproteobacteria; Enterobacterales; Enterobacteriaceae.
AGAGUUUGAUCAUGGCUCAGAUUGAACGCUGGCGGCAGGCCUAACACAUGCAAGUCGAGCGGUAGCACAGAGAGCUUGCUCUCGGGUGACGAGCGGCGGACGGGUGAGUAAUGUCUGGGAAACUGCCUGAUGGAGGGGGAUAACUACUGGAAACGGUAGCUAAUACCGCAUAAUGUCGCAAGACCAAAGUGGGGGACCUUCGGGCCUCAUGCCAUCAGAUGUGCCCAGAUGGGAUUAGCUAGUAGGUGGGGUAACGGCUCACCUAGGCGACGAUCCCUAGCUGGUCUGAGAGGAUGACCAGCCACACUGGAACUGAGACACGGUCCAGACUCCUACGGGAGGCAGCAGUGGGGAAUAUUGCACAAUGGGCGCAAGCCUGAUGCAGCCAUGCCGCGUGUGUGAAGAAGGCCUUCGGGUUGUAAAGCACUUUCAGCGGGGAGGAAGGCGAUAAGGUUAAUAACCUUGUCGAUUGACGUUACCCGCAGAAGAAGCACCGGCUAACUCCGUGCCAGCAGCCGCGGUAAUACGGAGGGUGCAAGCGUUAAUCGGAAUUACUGGGCGUAAAGCGCACGCAGGCGGUCUGUCAAGUCGGAUGUGAAAUCCCCGGGCUUAACCUGGGAACUGCAUUCGAAACUGGCAGGCUAGAGUCUUGUAGAGGGGGGUAGAAUUCCAGGUGUAGCGGUGAAAUGCGUAGAGAUCUGGAGGAAUACCGGUGGCGAAGGCGGCCCCCUGGACAAAGACUGACGCUCAGGUGCGAAAGCGUGGGGAGCAAACAGGAUUAGAUACCCUGGUAGUCCACGCCGUAAACGAUGUCGAUUUGGAGGUUGUGCCCUUGAGGCGUGGCUUCCGGAGCUAACGCGUUAAAUCGACCGCCUGGGGAGUACGGCCGCAAGGUUAAAACUUAAAUGAAUUGACGGGGGCCCGCACAAGCGGUGGAGCAUGUGGUUUAAUUCGAUGCAACGCGAAGAACCUUACCUGGUCUUGACAUCCACAGAACUUUCCAGAGAUGGAUUGGUGCCUUCGGGAACUGUGAGACAGGUGCUGCAUGGCUGUCGUCAGCUCGUGUUGUGAAAUGUUGGGUUAAGUCCCGCAACGAGCGCAACCCUUAUCCUUUGUUGCCAGCGGUUAGGCCGGGAACUCAAAGGAGACUGCCAGUGAUAAACUGGAGGAAGGUGGGGAUGACGUCAAGUCAUCAUGGCCCUUACGACCAGGGCUACACACGUGCUACAAUGGCAUAUACAAAGAGAAGCGACCUCGCGAGAGCAAGCGGACCUCAUAAAGUAUGUCGUAGUCCGGAUUGGAGUCUGCAACUCGACUCCAUGAAGUCGGAAUCGCUAGUAAUCGUAGAUCAGAAUGCUACGGUGAAUACGUUCCCGGGCCUUGUACACACCGCCCGUCACACCAUGGGAGUGGGUUGCAAAAGAAGUAGGUAGCUUAACCUUCGGGAGGGCGCUUACCACUUUGUGAUUCAUGACUGGGGUGAAGUCGUAACAAGGUAACCGUAGGGGAACCUGCGGUUGGAUCACCU